GAACGGGUGAGUAACACGUGGGUGAUCUGCCCUGCACUUUGGGAUAAGCCUGGGAAACUGGGUCUAAUACCGAAUAGGACCACGCGCUUCAUGGUGUGUGGUGGAAAGCUUUUGCGGUGUGGGAUGGGCCCGCGGCCUAUCAGCUUGUUGGCGGGGUAAUGGCCUACCAAGGCGACGACGGGUAGCCGGCCUGAGAGGGUGACCGGCCACACUGGGACUGAGAUACGGCCCAGACUCCUACGGGAGGCAGCAGUGGGGAAUAUUGCACAAUGGGCGCAAGCCUGAUGCAGCGACGCCGCGUGAGGGAUGACGGCCUUCGGGUUGUAAACCUCUUUCAAUAGGGACGAAGCGCAAGUGACGGUACCUAUAGAAGAAGCACCGGCCAACUACGUGCCAGCAGCCGCGGUAAUACGUAGGGUGCGAGCGUUGUCCGGAAUUACUGGGCGUAAAGAGCUCGUAGGUGGUUUGUCGCGUUGUUCGUGAAAACUCACAGCUUAACUGUGGGCGUGCGGGCGAUACGGGCAGACUAGAGUACUGCAGGGGAGACUGGAAUUCCUGGUGUAGCGGUGGAAUGCGCAGAUAUCAGGAGGAACACCGGUGGCGAAGGCGGGUCUCUGGGCAGUAACUGACGCUGAGGAGCGAAAGCGUGGGGAGCGAACAGGAUUAGAUACCCUGGUAGUCCACGCCGUANACGGUGGGUACUAGGUGUGGGUUCCUUCCUUGGGAUCCGUGCCGUAGCUAACGCAUUAAGUACCCCGCCUGGGGAGUACGGCCGCAAGGCUAAAACUCAAAGGAAUUGACGGGGG
This 806-nucleotide ribosomal RNA is filed under the name uncultured bacterium. RNAcentral describes it as "bacterial SSU rRNA". It matches the Rfam family "Bacterial small subunit ribosomal RNA", at positions 100 to 919 of the family's 1533-position model. The record is from RNAcentral.